UAUAUUUGAAGGACUUGAUUAUUUGAUUGCACUUGUAUUUAUUAUUUGUUGAGAAGCAAUAUUUGUGUUCUUGUUGCCUGCUAUUUAUAUCAUUGGUUGAUCACUGUUGCCAUUAUUGUUAUUUGUUUCCUAUUAUUUUGUACGUUAUGAACUGUACAGGUUUAUGUGAGUAUCUGGUCCUAGCCUUGUCACUACUUCGCCGUGAUAGGCCGGGCACUUACCAGCACAUGGGGUCGGUUGUGCUGAUUCUACACUCUGCGCUCUUUUUGCGCAGAUACAGGUUUUGGACAGCAAUUCCUAUUAUUUUGUACGUUAUGAACUGUACAGGUUUAUGUGAGUGUCUGGUCUUAGCCUUGUUACUACUUCGCCGGGAUAGGCCGGGCACUUACCAGCACAUGGGGUCGAUUGUGCUGAUUCUACACUCUGCGCUCUUUUUGCGCAGAUACAAGUUUUGGACAGCAGCAACAGCAGUAGUACGGGUGUUAGCUUUUGAUCAUCCUUGUAGGUGUCCGCAAGACCCGGUGUCUCCUCUAUCCUUACUUUCAGUCUGUUAUCUCAUAUAUUCGAGACAAACAAUAUCAUAUUUCUUUCAGACGGUUAUGUGUAUUAUUCUUAGAAGUUCGUGAGUAUCGUGACACCAUUUCUUGGUUUAGUGUUUUAUGUUCGUGACACCAGUUCUUGGGUAGUUUUUUAUGUUGAAAUUUUCAGUAUCGCAUCUAGUA
RNAcentral lists this long non-coding RNA (722 nucleotides) under Nicotiana benthamiana. Its description in RNAcentral is "long non-coding RNA (NBEN_LNC019072)". Lineage: Eukaryota; Viridiplantae; Streptophyta; Magnoliopsida; Solanales; Solanaceae. The record is from RNAcentral.